GAUGAACGCUGGCUACAGGCUUAACACAUGCAAGUCGAGGGGAAACGACGGGGAAGCUUGCUUCCCCGGGCGUCGACCGGCGCACGGGUGAGUAACGCGUAUCCAACCUGCCUCUGACUGAGGGAUAACCCGUCGAAAGUCGGCCUAAUACCUCAUGGCAUCGUCUGCGGGCAUCCAACGACGAUUAAAGAUUUCAUCGGUCAGGGAUGGGGAUGCGUCUGAUUAGCUAGUUGGCGGGGUAACGGCCCACCAAGGCGACGAUCAGUAGGGGUUCUGAGAGGAAGGUCCCCCACAUUGGAACUGCGACACGGUCCAAACUCCUACGGGAGGCAGCAGUGAGGAAUAUUGGUCAAUGGGCGAGAGCCUGAACCAGCCAAGUAGCGUGCAGGAUGACGGCCCUAUGGGUUGUAAACUGCUUUUAUGCGGGGAUAAAGUGAGGGACGUGUCCUUCAUUGCAGGUACCGCAUGAAUAAGGACCGGCUAAUUCCGUG
RNAcentral lists this ribosomal RNA (491 nucleotides) under uncultured bacterium. RNAcentral's name for it is "partial 16S ribosomal RNA". It matches the Rfam family "Bacterial small subunit ribosomal RNA", at positions 28 to 507 of the family's 1533-position model. The record is from RNAcentral.